Molecule: non-coding RNA, 28 nt
Filed under: Bombyx mori (domestic silkworm)
Lineage: Eukaryota; Metazoa; Arthropoda; Insecta; Lepidoptera; Bombycidae
Source: RNAcentral
UAUUGGACAGUGGUUGCAAAAUAUCUAA